GGAUGCUUAGCUCAGUUGGUUAGAGCACCGAACUUUUAAUUCGGGGGUCCAGGGUUCGAACCCCUGAGCAUCUACCA
RNAcentral lists this transfer RNA (77 nucleotides) under Oxalobacteraceae bacterium. Its description in RNAcentral is "tRNA-Lys". It matches the Rfam family "tRNA". From Rfam's summary of the family: Transfer RNA (tRNA) molecules are approximately 80 nucleotides in length. Their secondary structure includes four short double-helical elements and three loops (D, anti-codon, and T loops). Lineage: Bacteria; Pseudomonadati; Pseudomonadota; Betaproteobacteria; Burkholderiales; Oxalobacteraceae. The record is from RNAcentral.